RNAcentral lists this ribosomal RNA (450 nucleotides) under uncultured bacterium. RNAcentral describes it as "partial 16S ribosomal RNA". It matches the Rfam family "Bacterial small subunit ribosomal RNA", at positions 29 to 507 of the family's 1533-position model. The record is from RNAcentral.
AUGAACGCUCGCGGCGUGCCUAACACAUGCAAGUCGAGCGGCAGCGAGGGGUGCUUGCACCCUGUCGGCGAGCGGCGGACGGCUGAGUAACGCGUGGGAACGUGCCCCAAAGUGAGGAAUAACUGCCCGAAAGGGUAGCUAAUACCGCAUAUUAUCUUCGGAUCAAAGGAUUUAUCCGCUUUGGGAGCGGCUCGCGUCGGAUUAGGUAGUUGGUGAGGUAAUGGCUCACCAAGCCGACGAUCCGUAGCUGGUCUGAGAGGAUGACCAGCCAGACUGGAACUGAGACACGGGCCAGACUCCGACGGGAGGCAGGAGUGAGGAAUCAUCCACAAUGGGCGAAAGCCUGAUGGAGCAACUGCGCGUGCAGGACGAAGGACUUCGGGUUGUAAACUGCUUUUAUAAGUGAGGAAUAUGACGGUAACUUAUGAAUAAGGAUCGGCUAACUACGUG